GAAAUGCGAUAACUAGUGUGAAUUGCAGAAUUCCGUGAAUCAUCAAGUCUUUGAACGCACAUUGCGCCCCCUGGUAUUCCGGGGGGCAUGCCUGUCCGAGCGUCAUUGCUGCCCAUCAAGCACGGCUUGUGUGUUGGGUCGUCGUCCCCUCUCCGGGGGGACGGGCCCCAAAGGCAGCGGCGGCACCGCGUCCGAUCCUCGAGCGUAUGGGGCUUUGUCACCCGCUCUGUAGGCCCGGCCGGCGCUUGCCGAACGCAAAUCAAUCUUUUUCCAGGUUGACCUCGGAUCAGGUAGGGAUACCCGCUGAACUUAAGC
RNAcentral lists this unclassified non-coding RNA (315 nucleotides) under plant metagenome. Its description in RNAcentral is "partial contains 5.8S ribosomal RNA, internal transcribed spacer 2, and large subunit ribosomal RNA". The stretch from base 1 to 105 matches the Rfam family "5.8S ribosomal RNA", at positions 50 to 154 of the family's 154-position model. The record is from RNAcentral.